This 545-nucleotide long non-coding RNA is filed under the name Nicotiana tabacum (common tobacco). Its description in RNAcentral is "long non-coding RNA (NTAB_LNC009795)". Lineage: Eukaryota; Viridiplantae; Streptophyta; Magnoliopsida; Solanales; Solanaceae. The record is from RNAcentral.
GACCUCAGCGUGUGAAGUCCUUCCUAAAUUACUUGCUAAUCUUAACAAUGACCCCACUAGACAUGAUAUCAACCACACAAGAGGUCAACCUCUGAAACUCUCUUAAAGGAUUAAACACUAAAUUUAUUAUCAUAUUUAACAGUAACACCUCAUGAGUCCACAUUCAACAAGCCUUUGAAAAACAGUCCCAGAUAAUUACAAUCAAUAGUAGCUAAUUAUUAAACACUUGAAUAAGCUAAUACGACUCAAAUGCUUAAACCAAAUACUUAUACUAGAUCAUGUUGACUGUGCUAAAUCCAAGCUGAAACAAUAUCAGAUUCACAGUGUUGACUAUCGAUAGAAAAGAAAUAUUUAGUCCAGUGAAGAAGAUAAUUCCAUUCCAUGUCAACCGAUCACAAAUCCAUUCUUAUUACUUCAUCUCAUAGACAUACCUAGAAACAACAACAAACAACCACAAAUUUCAGCAAAGAAGUAGAAGUAUCAGCAAAGCUCUAAAAUAGCAGCAAACAGCAACGAUCAAACAACUUCAACCAUAUGUGACCCAG